UAAGCAUUUUUUUUUCAUUAAUAUGGAGAUAUUACGAGUUUAUGGAAAAGUUCAAACUAUUCUUAAAAAGAAGUGUAGUUUAUUGAUAGACAUUUUCCCCUGGUAUUCAAAUGAAACUUAAAGCAUUGUCUCAUAUCCACAUGGCAACAAAAUGAAAUCUAGUAGGGUGCUUUCGAAUCCGAGUUAUUUAGCUCUCCAAAAUCUGUCUACCACUAAACCACUACCUCUUAAUUAGUAUAUCGUUUGUUAUGUACAAGUAAUCAUGCACCUUUUAAUCGCAGACUGUUUCUAACACUUACUAAUGAAAAGAUUGUUGCAUUAAAAUAUGUUGCAAAGAUUCAAAAUUAACAUACACAAUUACAAAAUUUAAGUCCAAGCAUAGGAAGUACAAAACUAUGUUAAACAAUUUUAAAAAGUAUGUGUUAAACAAUAUAAUUUGGAUAACAUGUCUUAAAACUUUUAAAAAUCUUAGCGUAAAUAUUUUAUUUUUGUCAUAGAUUAAUUUAACAAAAUAAUGAAGUACAAAAGCCAGCAGGAUCACUGUCCCUCCAUAGCCAAGAGCCGGCAAGGACCUAAAUCCCUCCAGAAUCAUAAAUCAGAAGGAACAAACUCUUUCUGAAACUAGGGCUCCGACUAGUGACAUGUAGUAUUAGAGUUGAAUUACAGUAUGAUUUGUAGUCGAUGUAACUUGCAGUAAAAAGUAUGUGGUAAAAA
RNAcentral lists this long non-coding RNA (714 nucleotides) under Brassica napus (rape). Its description in RNAcentral is "long non-coding RNA (BNAP_LNC026433)". The record is from RNAcentral. Lineage: Eukaryota; Viridiplantae; Streptophyta; Magnoliopsida; Brassicales; Brassicaceae.